This is a non-coding RNA of Brachypodium distachyon (stiff brome), 125 nucleotides long. NCBI's taxonomy places the organism in Eukaryota, Viridiplantae, Streptophyta, Magnoliopsida, Poales, Poaceae. The record is from Rfam.
CAACUACUCCCUCCGUCCCAUAUUAAGUGAUCCAAAUUUGUUUAAAUAUGGACGUAUAUAUAUACUAAAUAUGUCUAGAUACAUGUAAUAGAAAGUCACUUAAUGUGGGACGGAGAGAGUAUAAU